RNAcentral lists this ribosomal RNA (468 nucleotides) under uncultured bacterium. RNAcentral describes it as "partial 16S ribosomal RNA". It matches the Rfam family "Bacterial small subunit ribosomal RNA", at positions 28 to 507 of the family's 1533-position model. The record is from RNAcentral.
GACGAACGCUGGCGGCGUGCUUAACACAUGCAAGUCGAACGGAAAGGCCCUGCUUUUGUGGGGUGCUCGAGUGGCGAACGGGUGAGUAACACGUGAGUAACCUGCCCUUGACUUUGGGAUAACUUCAGGAAACUGGGGCUAAUACCGGAUAGGAGCUCCUGCUGCAUGGUGGGGGUUGGAAAGUUUCGGCGGUUGGGGAUGGACUCGCGGCUUAUCAGCUUGUUGGUGGGGUAGUGGCUUACCAAGGCUUUGACGGGUAGCCGGCCUGAGAGGGUGACCGGCCACAUGGGGACUGAGAUACGGCGCAGACGGCAACGGGAGGCAGCAGUGGGGAAUAUGGCACAAUGGGGGGAAGCCUGAUGCAGCAACGCCGCGUGCGGGAUGACGGCCUUCGGGUUGUAAACCGCUUUCGCCUGUGACGAAGCGUGAGUGACGGUAAUGGGUAAAGAAGCACCGGCUAACUACGUG